AUGGCGUCCAUCCUGCCCCGGCUGCUCCUUCGCCGCCGACGGACUCUGCAGCCCUCCGCCACGGCUCUGUUCUACCUACGGUUCGUCGCCUCGUCUCCUCACAACGGUCCAACCACCAUCAGUCCCCCACGCCUCGGCGCACUGCCCGAGCGUUCCCGUGCGGCUGCUGGAUUCGCGACAGCUGCGCGGAGACAGUCCCCGGCGAGGCGCGGGAGCACGGCGGUGACGCUGGACACGGACGGAAGCUUCGCGCGCUUCUCGGUCGGAGACGAACCGCGCACGACGCAGCCGCAGGGGAAGAAGAAGCAGAAGAUGUCCAAGAAGUCCAAGGUGAACCAGCUCAAGUGGUUCCGCCUCAAGGCCAAGAAGAAGAUGAAGUCGCCCAACCCCGAGGUCCGGAUCAGAUACAAGCUCGACAAGGCGAAGAGGAAAGAGGAGUGGCUGAUCGAGAAGCUCCGGAAGUACGAGGCGCCCUGGAGGGGUCCGGCGCCGGUCCAUGACCCCGAGAUUCUGACCGAGGAGGAGAGGUUUUACCUCAAGCGAACCGGGGAGAAGAAAAAGAACUAUGUCCCCGUCGGGAGGCGAGGGGUGUUCGGCGGCGUGGUCCUCAACAUGCACCUCCACUGGAAGAGGCACGAGACCAUGAAGGUGGUUUGCAAGCCCUGCCGGCCUGGCCAGGUGUACGAGUACGCCGAGGAGCUGGCCAGGCUCAGCAAGGGGACCGUCAUCGAUGUUAAACCGGAUAAUACGAUUAUCUUCUAUCGUGGGAAAAAUUAUGUGCAACCGAAGGUUAUGUCGCCUCCUGAUACUCUGUCCAAGCAGAAGGCCUUGGAGAAAUAUAGGUUUGAACAAUCUCUUGAACAUACCAGUAAAUUUAUUGAGCAGCUGGAGAAGGAGCUUGAAGAUUACCAGAAGCAUGUUGAGUUAUUUAAGAAGCGUGAGGGGGCUAUUGCUGAGGAGAUCAGUGACGGAGACGCUGAUGUUGAUGAUCUCACAUCUAGCUCAGAUACUGAAUGAAUCGUCUUCUUGAUCAAUUGUCACCUCGGCGCAGAUCCUUUCACAAUGGAGAUUUGAUAUGAUCUUGCUGCCCUAAAUUUGAGUGCAUCUGGUUUGCCACCAAACAUUCCCAAUUUUUUGGAAGACAGGUGUGGCAAGCAUUCGGUCUUCUCUAGCAUUGUGCCCCACUGUCAUAGACUGAGCUCUAAGAGUCGCACUGAGAGAUAGUGAAGUUCAGAGUCAGCAGCAUUUGAAUACAACAUGAGCUUUGGAUGCUCAUGGCGGGCGAGAUGAGUUGUGUUUGCAGCUUUCAUCAGAAAUGAGCUUCCUUGGAUUGUCAGUUAUGAAAAUCAACUUGUGUGUCUUCUGGAGAAGGAUCUGCUCAAAUAUAAACAUUGUCCAGGCUACUCAAGUUGUUGAGCUUCUUCAACAAGUGGGCGUUGAUUCAGCAGCAGCAGGGCUUUGGCCCUGAUUGUGGAGCAAGUGUGAGAAGCUAGCUAUGUCCGAGGAAGCGGAGACGUCGGCGAGGAGGAUGGUGGGUACACCACGAUUGUGUUGGGGAAAAAGAUGUGGUUCAUCAUCCCCUUGCGCCUAAAAAAAGGUUAUAUUUUUUGGACAACUCUAAUUGGAUGACUCGGUGCUUAUAACAUGAAGAUGAUGAGGAAUUGAGAACUUGAGAUCAAUUUCUUUUCUUUCUAUUUCUGUUUGUACUCUGUUACUUGCGAUGAUUUUGUAAGGUGCAAGUUAACUGCUGUAUUUUCCUUAUUCUAGGAGAUAAUCUUGCUGCAACUUGCAAGGAAAUUAAUUACUUGUUGCUGUUAA
Lolium rigidum is the source of this 1818-nucleotide RNA transcript. RefSeq lists it as uncharacterized. NCBI's taxonomy places the organism in Eukaryota, Viridiplantae, Streptophyta, Magnoliopsida, Poales, Poaceae. The record is from RefSeq and is a predicted model, not a curated record. The transcript is spliced from 4 exons.